This 26-nucleotide ribosomal RNA is filed under the name uncultured Cortinarius. Its description in RNAcentral is "partial 18S ribosomal RNA". RNAcentral also lists the same sequence under 1 other name. The record is from RNAcentral. Lineage: Eukaryota; Fungi; Basidiomycota; Agaricomycetes; Agaricales; Cortinariaceae.
CGUGGUGACCUGCGGAAGGAUCAUUA